UACAGAGGGUGCAAGCGUUAAUCGGAAUUACUGGGCGUAAAGCGUGCGUAGGUGGUUCUUUAAGUCAGGUGUGAAAUCCCCGGGCUCAACCUGGGAACUGCAUUUGAUACUGAAGAGCUAGAGUGUGGUAGAGGAUAGUGGAAUUCCCAGUGUAGAGGUGAAAUUCGUAGAUAUUGGGAAGAACACCGGUGGCGAAGGCGGCGACCUGGUCCGUGACUGACGCUGAGGCGCGAAAGCGUGGGGAGCAAACAGG
RNAcentral lists this ribosomal RNA (253 nucleotides) under uncultured bacterium. RNAcentral describes it as "partial 16S ribosomal RNA". It matches the Rfam family "Bacterial small subunit ribosomal RNA", at positions 524 to 776 of the family's 1533-position model. The record is from RNAcentral.